GAAGGGCGCACGGGUGGAUGCCUAGGCGCUCGUGGCCGAGGAAGGACGUGGCGGACUGCGAAAAGCCUGGGGAGCUGUCGAGCAAGCGCGAGAUCCGGGGAUAUCCGAAUGGGGCAACCCGCUGGGGUCAUGCACCGGCACCCAGACUGUCCAAGGUCUGGGAGGGCACCGCGGGGAACUGAAACAUCUCAGUACCUCGAGGAAAAGAGAAAGCAUUCCCCGAGUAGUGGCGAGCGAAAGGGGAGGAGCCCAAACCGCUGCUGUGGACAGCCGUGGCGUUGCAGCAGGGGGGUUGAGGACCGCGCCGACGGGGCACACGGACCCGUCGACAGUGACGAGACGCGCCCAGCCGAAGGCCGUUGGAAGACGGCGCCAGAGACGGUGAGAGCCCGGUAGGCGAACGGCGUGGCUCGCUGGCGCGGUCCGGAGUACCGCGGGACACGGGAAUCCCGGCUGGAAGCGGGGGGCCCACCCUCCAAGGCUAAAUACCACGAGCGACCGAUAGCGGAAGAGUACCGUGAGGGAAAGGUGAAAAGCACCCCGGGAGGGGAGUGAAAGAGACCUGAAACCGUGUGCCUACAAGCCGUCGGAGCGCAGUGGCGUGUCCCGGGUGACGGCGUGCCUUAUUGAAGAAUGAGCCGGCGAGUUACUCGGCGUGCGGGCGAAGCAGGGGACCUGCGGGCCGAAGCGAAAGCGAGUCUGAAAUGGGCGGAAGUGGCCGGGGUGAGACCCGAAACCGGGUGAGCUACCCAUGGCCAGGGUGAAGCGUGGGUAACGCCGCGUGGAGGCCCGCACCGUAUGCUGUUGCAAAGGCACGGGAUGAGCUGUGGGUAGGGGUGAAAUGCCAACCGAACCCGGAGAUAGCUGGUUCUCCCCGAAAUGCAUUUAGGUGCAGCCUUGGGCGAGCUGCCUGAGGAGGUAGAGCACUGUAUGGGCUAGGGGGCGAUGGCUUACCGAACCCAACAAACUCCGAAUGCCUCGGUGUACGCCGGGAGUGAGACGGCGGGGGAUAAGCUUCGUCGUCGAGAGGGAAACAGCCCAGACCAGCAGCUAAGGUCCCGAAGUGCAGGCUUAGUGGGAAAGGAAGUGGUCGCCGAGACAGCCAGGAGGUUGGCUUAGAAGCAGCCAUCCUUGAAAGAGUGCGUAAUAGCUCACUGGUCGAGCGCCGAUGCGCCGACAAUGUACCGGGGCUGAAGUCUGCCACCGAAGCUCGUGGAUCGCGCUGGCGACUGGUAGGGGAGCGUCUCAUCGGCGGUGAAGCGGACUGGAAGGACCGUGGAGCGGGAGACAGUGCGAAUGCCGGCAUGAGUAGCGCAAGGGAGGUGAGAAUCCUGCCCCGCCGGAAGCCUAAGGGUUCCUACGGAAGGUUCGUCCGCGUAGGGUUAGUCGGGCCUAAGCCGAGGCCGAAGGCGUAGGCGAUGGACAGCAGGUCAAUAUUCCUGCACCGGCCUCGAUGCUGAGCACGACGUGACGCUGGGGGAGCAGGGCUUGACGUGGCGCUGGAGAUGCCGCGUGGCGAGGCGCGAGCCUUGCACGAGUGGGGUGGCGACACCCGCAAGCGAGCGGUGCCCGGCCGAGAAAAGCGUCGUGGGAGUCGUGGGCCGCCCGUACCGCAAACCGACACAGGUAGGCGCGGUAAGUAGCCGCAGGCGACGGGUGAUCCCUCGUUAAGGAACUCGGCAACUUGGCCCGUAACUUCGGGAGAAGGGACGCCCCUGGUGGUAGCCGAGCGCGACGAGCCUGGGAGGCCGCAGGAACCGGCCCAGGCGACUGUUUAACAAAAACACAGGUCUCUGCGAAGCCGCAAGGCGACGUAUGGGGGCUGACGCCUGCCCAGUGCCGGAAGGUUAAGGGGAGGGGUGCGAGCGCCCGAACCGAAGCCCCGGUGAACGGCGGCCGUAACUAUAACGGUCCUAAGGUAGCGAAAUUCCUUGUCGGGUAAGUUCCGACCCGCACGAAUGGCGUAACGAUCUGGGCGCUGUCUCGACGAGGGGCCCGGCGAAAUUGCACUCAGCGUGAAGAUGCGCUUACCCGCGACUGGACAAAAAGACCCCGUGGAGCUUUACUGUAGCUUGGCGUCUGGCCGUGGGUCGUCGUGCGUAGGAUAGGUGGGACGCGAGGAAGCUGCCCUUGCGGGGGUGGUGGAGCGGCCGGUGAAAUACCACUCUCGACGGCUUCGGUCCUAACCUCACGGAACGGCGUGGGGGACGGCGCCUGGUGGGCAGUUUGACUGGGGCGGUCGCCUCCUAAAGCGUAACGGAGGCGCCCAAAGGUUCCCUCAGGCCGGAUGGAAAUCGGCCUUGGGCGUGCAUUGGCAGAAGGGAGCUUGACUGCGAGGCGGACGAGCCGAGCAGGGACGAAAGUCGGGCAAAGUGAUCCUACGGCACUGCGUGGAAAGGCCGUGGCUUAACGGAUAAAAGCUACCCCGGGGAUAACAGGCUGAUCCUGCCCAAGAGUCCACAUCGACGGCAGGGUUUGGCACCUCGAUGUCGGCUCGUCGCAUCCUGGGGCUGGAGCAGGUCCCAAGGGUUGGGCUGUUCGCCCAUUAAAGCGGUACGCGAGCUGGGUUCAGAACGUCGUGAGACAGUUCGGUCUCUCUCCGUCGUGGGCGCAGGGGAUUUGCGGGGGGUCGUCGGUAGUACGAGAGGACCCCGACGAACGGGCCGCUGGUGUGUGGGUCGUCCCGCCCGGGGCGCUGCCCAGUAGCUAUGCCCGGAGAGGAGAAGCGCUGAAAGCAUCUAAGCGCGAAGCCUCGCCCAAGAUGAGAUCCCCCAUGGAGCAAUCCAGUAAGGCCGCAGGAAGACGACCUGCUCGAUAGACGGCACGUCGACAGCCGGUAACGGUUGCAGCGAAGCCGCACUAAUGG
RNAcentral lists this ribosomal RNA (2866 nucleotides) under Dehalococcoidia bacterium. RNAcentral's name for it is "23S ribosomal RNA". It matches the Rfam family "Bacterial large subunit ribosomal RNA". Lineage: Bacteria; Bacillati; Chloroflexota; Dehalococcoidia. The record is from RNAcentral.